Non-coding RNA from Canis lupus familiaris (dog), 105 nucleotides. NCBI's taxonomy places the organism in Eukaryota, Metazoa, Chordata, Mammalia, Carnivora, Canidae. The record is from Rfam.
AGGAGGAACAGCCCCAGUGGCGGGGCCAGCUCUGGAGCCCUGGAGUCAGCCCCCGCAGGAACUCCGGAGCUCUCCGUCUGCAGGGCCUGGAGGCUCCGGGGCGGG